CGGGGCCCGCCCCGGUGGGAUGUGGCCCGCGAGGGCUGAACCGUAAA
This 47-nucleotide non-coding RNA is filed under the name unclassified sequences. The record is from Rfam.